This 910-nucleotide ribosomal RNA is filed under the name uncultured prokaryote. RNAcentral's name for it is "bacterial SSU rRNA". It matches the Rfam family "Bacterial small subunit ribosomal RNA", at positions 31 to 941 of the family's 1533-position model. The record is from RNAcentral.
AGGCCCUGGCCGGCGGGCUUACCAUGCAGUCGACGAUGACUCUCUAGCUUGCUAGAGAUGAUUAGUGGCGGACGGGUGAGUAACAUUUAGGAAUCUACCUAGUAGUGGGGGAUAGCUCGGGGAAACUCGAAUUAAUACCGCAUACGACCUACGGGUGAAAGGGGGCGCAAGCUCUUGCUAUUAGAUGAGCCUAAAUCAGAUUAGCUAGUUGGUGGGGUAAAGGCCCACCAAGGCGACGAUCUGUAACUGGUCUGAGAGGAUGAUCAGUCACACCGGAACUGAGACACGGUCCGGACUCCUACGGGAGGCAGCAGUGGGGAAUAUUGGACAAUGGGGGCAACCCUGAUCCAGCCAUGCCGCGUGUGUGAAGAAGGCCUUUUGGUUGUAAAGCACUUUAAGCAGGGAGGAGAGGCUAAUGGUUAAUACCCAUUAGAUUAGACGUUACCUGCAGAAUAAGCACCGGCUAACUCUGUGCCAGCAGCCGCGGUAAUACAGAGGGUGCGAGCGUUAAUCGGAAUUACUGGGCGUAAAGCGAGUGUAGGUGGCUCAUUAAGUCACAUGUGAAAUCCCCGGGCUUAACCUGGGAACUGCAUGUGAUACUGGUGGUGCUAGAAUAUGUGAGAGGGAAGUAGAAUUCCAGGUGUAGCGGUGAAAUGCGUAGAGAUCUGGAGGAAUACCGAUGGCGAAGGCAGCUUCCUGGCAUAAUAUUGACACUGAGAUUCGAAAGCGUGGGUAGCAAACAGGAUUAGAUACCCUGGUAGUCCACGCCGUAAACGAUGUCUACUAGCCGUUGGGGUCCUUGAGACUUUAGUGACGCAGUUAACGCGAUAAGUAGACCGCCUGGGGGAGUACGGCCGCAAGGUUAAAACUCAAAUGAAUUGACGGGGGCCCGCACAAGCGGUGGAGCAUG